RNAcentral lists this ribosomal RNA (467 nucleotides) under uncultured bacterium. Its description in RNAcentral is "partial 16S ribosomal RNA". It matches the Rfam family "Bacterial small subunit ribosomal RNA", at positions 330 to 793 of the family's 1533-position model. The record is from RNAcentral.
CCCAGACUCCUACGGGAGGCAGCAGUGAGGAAUAUUGGUCAAUGGGCGGGAGCCUGAACCAGCCAAGUCGCGUGAGGGAAGACGGUCCUACGGAUUGUAAACCUCUUUUGCCGGGGAGCAACGGGGUCCUUGCGAGGUCCCAAUGAGAGUACCCGGAGAAAAAGCAUCGGCUAACUCCGUGCCAGCAGCCGCGGUAAUACGGGGGAUGCGAGCGUUAUCCGGAUUUAUUGGGUUUAAAGGGUGCGUAGGCGGCGCUUCAGGUCAGCGGUGAAAUACCGGGGCUCAACCCCGGGGCUGCCGUUGAAACCGGAGCGCUAGAAUUCCGAUGCCGUCGGAGGAAUGUGUGGUGUAGCGGUGAAAUGCAUAGAUAUCACACAGAACACCGAUUGCGGAGGCAGCAUACCGGCGCCCGACUGACGCUGAGGCACGAAAGCGUGGGUAUCGAACAGGAUUAGAUACCCCAGUAU